AACGAACGCUGGCGGCGGGCCUCAUACAUGCAAGUCGAGCGCGAAAGUCCGCAAGGAUGAGUAAAGCGGCGCACGGGUGAGUAACACGUGGGUAAUCUACCUUUUGGAUUGGAAUAACCUGUCGAAAGACGGGCUAAUGCCGAGUAAGCCUUCUUGAACGUGAAGUUCGAGACGGGAAAGAUGGCGCAAGCUAUCGCCGAAAGAUGAGCCUGCGUCCCAUUAGUUAGUUGGUGGGGUAAUGGCUUACCAAGACAAUGAUGGGUACCUGGUUUGAGAGAAUGAUCAGGCACACUGGAACUGAAACACGGUCCAGACUCCUACGGGAGGCAGCAGUAGGGAAUAUUGCGCAAUGGACGAAAGUCUGACGCAGCCACGCCGCGUGAGUGAGGAAGGCCUUCGGGUUGUAAAGCUCUGUCGGCUGGGAAAACGGCGUAUCCGGGAAAGUUCGGUAGCGUGAUGGUACCAGCAAAGGAAGCACCGGCAAACGUCUAGUGCCGGCAGCCGCGGUAA
Molecule: ribosomal RNA, 510 nt
Filed under: uncultured bacterium
Lineage: Bacteria
Description: bacterial SSU rRNA
Rfam family: Bacterial small subunit ribosomal RNA
Source: RNAcentral